UACAGAGACUGCGAGCGUUAUUCGGAUUCACUGGGCGUAAAGGGUGCGCAGGCGGCCGUGUGUGUGAGGCGUGAAAGCCCGGGGCUUAACCCCGGAAUUGCAUCUGAAACUGCCUGGCUAGAGUCCCGGAGAGGAAGGCAGAAUUCCCGGUGUAGGGGUGAAAUCCGUAGAUAUCGGGAGGAAUACCAGCGGCGAAGGCGGCCUUCUGGACGGUGACUGACGCUGAGACGCGAAAGCGUGGGGAGCAAACAGG
RNAcentral lists this ribosomal RNA (253 nucleotides) under uncultured bacterium. Its description in RNAcentral is "partial 16S ribosomal RNA". It matches the Rfam family "Bacterial small subunit ribosomal RNA", at positions 524 to 776 of the family's 1533-position model. The record is from RNAcentral.